CCCCCAUGUAAUGCGAUUUUUAAUUGGAAUCCCCCUCGAAACGCGAUUGGGAUAGUUUUGGCCUAGUUUUGAGUAGCGAUUGGGCGGGUUUUCUUGUGAAAACCUGGCAACCCUGAUUCUCUCAGAACCACGGCCUGUGACUGGAAAGAGUCAGAAUCUCAUUUCAGCUCUUUGGACAUCAUGGAGGGUCGACUACGCCACGACACAAGAUUCAGCUACAUCCUCAGAAGCAGCCUGCCCUCCUCUAACCUGACCACCAAUUCAGUCAAUGCCACACAUGUCUUCAGUGUGUUCGAUGGGUGUGAAGAAAUGGUGGCCGGUGUUGUUUUUGACCUAGCCAUACAAUGCUUCAACGUGAUCAUAGGAAUACCUGCCAACAUCCUGGUUCUUGCAAACCUAAUAAAGACCCGAAAUGAACCAUUAACUUCCGACAUCUUCCUGGGCUGCCUGGCUUUCAUGGACGCCUACUUUGGAUUCAUGACAAUCAUAGCGUUCCUCACUUUCUACCACUGGAGGAGCGCUAUGGGUUGGAGAGCUAUGAAGUUCUCAUACGGCGUGAAGGACACCAGUGGGCCGCUCUUCCUCUCCUGCGUCUGUCUGGAUCGCUUUAUAGCUGUUGUCUUUCCCAUUGCAUUCGGACAACUGAAGGACAUCAAAUACAGGAUCAGCCUUACCAUCGUGGUUCUGCUGCUCACUUUUGCUUAUGCUUCAGCCAAAACCAUUGGUGGCAUCCACAACUUUGAGAAGGUUUUCACUGGUGAG
This is a long non-coding RNA of Cyprinus carpio carpio, 762 nucleotides long. The record is from Ensembl. Lineage: Eukaryota; Metazoa; Chordata; Actinopteri; Cypriniformes; Cyprinidae.